Molecule: ribosomal RNA, 253 nt
Filed under: uncultured bacterium
Lineage: Bacteria
Description: partial 16S ribosomal RNA
Rfam family: Bacterial small subunit ribosomal RNA
Source: RNAcentral
UACGAAGGGGGCUAGCGUUGCUCGGAAUCACUGGGCGUAAAGCGCACGUAGGCGGAUCUUUAAGUCAGGGGUGAAAUCCCAAGGCUCAACCUUGGAACUGCCUUUGAUACUGGGGAUCUCGAGUCCGGAAGAGGUGAGUGGAACUGCGAGUGUAGAGGUGAAAUUCGUAGAUAUUCGCAAGAACACCAGUGGCGAAGGCGGCUCUCUGGAACGGUACUGACGCUGAGACGCGAAAGCGUGGGGAGCGAACAGG